UGUAAAUGUACUGUCCUAACAUACUCUAAAUUUAUGCUUUCGCCGUAAAACCUUUUUGAAAUCGUAAAACGUGGUUAGAUUAAGGAGAUGUUUAUCUUUCAAAGGGUGUAAAAUAGUUGUAUGUUUGAAAAAUUUGAAUUUUGACAUUUAUUUGGAUUCAAAUUUGCCGCUCUUGAAAUGCACCUGCUGUUGAUGGAGUGCACCACGGGUGGCACGCUAGCGUCCCACCUAGCCCAUAGAGGUUAACGAGAGUCUUGUCUUUAAAAUGGUGUAAAAUAGUCAUAUGUUUGAAAAAUUGAAGUUUUUGCAUUUUUGAGGUUUUUGAAUAACGCGCCACGGGAUUACACUGGCUGUUACGUAGGUGGGACGAAUUCGUCCCGCCUAGCCCAUAGAGGUUAAAACUCAGAAAAUAAAACUUCAACGAUUCCAUGUGUGUGUAACUUCUAAGAUUCCAUAUGUGUGUAUACCCCUUUAAGAAAUCUUGGCUCUAGGAAACAUUCCAAAGAGAGACAAUGAAGCACUCAUUUUCCCAGAGAAAUAAAAACACAAACACUUGGUCAGCAUUCAUUAUACUACACCAAUUCAGAACCCCAAACGUUGACUAUAAACAAAACCUAAUAAUAAUUCCACUGUAAACCCCUCAAAUCAUUAAUCAUUAGUUUUAAACUUCCUCAAUGGUUAUGUGUACUUAAUUGAACAUGCGCUACCCUUGGAUACAAUAUUUUACUUCAAAUCUAUGAAACUCCUCUAUUUAACAUACAAUUUGGCCCAAGCUUGCUUUACAACAUUAAAACCCCUUCAGUCUGUCUUCAAACAGGCUCUCAAAGUGUUUGAUAGGACUACCCUGCCAUAAGACGCACACUACUGUGAUUAAUGUGCACGGUACCUGUAAAAUAAAAUUAACUCAACCUACAAUUCACUUCACUGACCUGACGUUGUUCCACGUAAUGGAAACAGAUUUAUAAUGUUAGAAUACUUUAACUUCCUGCCUAAAUUCACUGGUGUUAACUAAACAAUCAAACCAAGAAUCAUUAACCAGAAACUAUCACACAACUUUUACAAUUCAACUAUCCAGACUUGAAUCGCUUUACAGCCAAUCUAUAUCCCAGCGAGUGCAACUAGCUCCCCUAUUCUUUCCAGCAGACAAAAAUAUAAUCUCUACUCAAACAACAUUCUACCUUACCUCUAUCGUAAGAUUAAAACAUAUGUUACAACUUUCUCCUCUCUUUCGGCUUCACACUUAUGAAAUGUCUACGACUUUAAAAGUACCAUGUAGAUCGCCAAAUUUAUCAAAUACUUCAUUCAACUCCUUUCAACUAAAAAACAAAUUUCGGUGGGUUCUACUCAAUCGCAAUCACUUAUCCGCUCAUUAUAAUUCAUUAGAUUUAGGUAACUGUCUCUUCCAUUGAAACUGAACAAGCUAUCAAAACGUUCAGUUUAUAUCUUAAACAACCACUAACAACCGUAUCUUUCCAGGUAAAACAUACCAACAGUUGAAUGACAAUCCGCACCUACAAUUUUAAUCAACUGAUGCAUAGGCUGAGAAACAAACCCAGGUCUCCCACAUGGUAGGCAAGGAUUCUACCUCUGAACCACCAAUGCUAUUGCUUAGGGUUGCAAUUUCGGUGGUUUUGUCCUACUCGGCCACAAUGUUUACAGGGAGCCUUACCUUCUCGAGCGAAUUGUCCUGUCUUAUUGCAAUUCGAACACUUUCUAUCGUCUGGUUCCAUCCAUUUUCUACUCUCCCUUUUCCCCCCUUUCUCUUUCUUCUUCUGACAAUCUCGGUUUUUAUGUCCUGUUUUGUUACAAUGUUUACACGAUGCCUCACAAUCCCUUGCAUAAUGCAUAAUGCCCCGACUUCUGACAGUUGAAACAUGUAUUUUCCUUAUUCCUAUCCAUUUAUUUUUUCUUAAACACAGUUACCCCGAUAGUUACUGUUAGAUGCUCUAACUCAACCGGUUCACUCUUUUCCCAGUCUCGGUGAUUAUGGCCUACUUUAUUGUAGUGUUUACACGGUGCCUCACAAUCCCUUGCAUAAUGCAUAAUGCCCCGACUUCUGACAGUUGAAACAUGUAUUUUCCUUAUUCCUAUCCAUUUAUUUUUUCUUAAACACAGUUACCCCGAUAGUUACUGUUAGAUGCUCUAACUCAACCGGUUCACUCUUUUCCCAGUCUCGGUGAUUAUGGCCUACUUUAUUGUAGUGUUUACACGGUGCCUCACAAUCUCUAGCAAAAUUACCCGGUUUGUGACAGUUAAAGCAUCUAUUUCCCCCUUUCUUUUGACUGUCUCUAUCCACUUUUCUCGACUUUCUCAAUAAGUUUGCUAAAUCCUGUUCUCCUUUACUGUGUCUCUGUGGGGGCCUUGGGAGUCCUCUCCGUCUGAGAGGAUUUACUACUCAUGUUCGUUGAAUUACUAUCAGAGUUAUUAUGCUUCAUCACACAAUCUGUGUGUUAUCUAUUACUCUCUAUGUGUGUUUUCUACCGUUAUUAUCCUUAACCUAUAUUACAAAAUACAUACCGUAAUCUUUCCUAGAAUAUUAGAAUAUUUAUUUGUAUGAAUCCUGAUAUAUUAUUUAGAUCUCACACGUAUACCACCAUAAGUUAUACUUAUUUUUAUGUCGUUCCUUGCGACUUUUGACUGAUCAAUAUGUCUAUCUCACACGCAAAUAAUUAUCUCCUUAUUCUAUGUGUGUGCUUUUAAAACUCUGAUUCAAUUACUUCUAUGUGUAUUCCUUACCUACUGUUAAUUUCCUCUAGGAUCUUAGAAUAAUAUUUUUUAUGACUUUUGAUAGAUUAUUAGGUCUCACAUGUAUACAACAAUAAGCUAUUUACCAGAGGUUGUAAGGCCCUGGUCAACAGCCCAUUUUUCCGUUGUUCCUUAUGGCUUUUGACUGAUCAAUAUAUCUCUCACACGCAAUUAUCUUCUUACCCCCGUGGAAAUUUCCCAAUGUGUCUGUGUUGCAAUUACUAUCUCUUUCUUGAAACUUUAUCUAUAGAGGUGACUUUUGAUCGGACAUUAGGUCUCAUACGUAUAUGACUAUAAGCUAUUUUCCAGGGGUUGUAAAGCCCUAGUUAACAGCCUAUUUUUCUGUCGUUCCUUGCAAUUAUUGACUCGUUAAUAUCACGUAUCUCACUCCGCUAUAUUAGGUUUCCUUUCUUAAAUGGAUAAUCAGACCUAGAUGUGCGCCUCUGGAAGAUCUGACCAUCCCCCUUCUAUCGUCGUUAUUUAAUUACUUCUAUGUGUAUUCAAUUACUUCUAUGUGUAUUCCUUCUUUCCACUAGUUUCCAGUGGUAAAUACCUCGUUAUUCAGCUUGCAUAAUAUAUCCUUGAUCAGGUUUAACAAAUCGUUCUCUUAGAUCUCAAUAUUAGCUAGUUUACUCUGGUAGUGCAGAUACCCUAUGUCAUUUCGGACAAAGUCACUGAGGAUUUAACAAUUCCUAGGUGGCUUCUACUCCCAAUUCCAUAGAAUAGUACCUAUAUCAGGGUUCUCUACACAACAUUCUAAAGAUAGGUCACCAGGUUAGGUCACCAGGUUAGAAUACGCAAUCAGAUCUAGAGAUCAAUGUCCAAACCACACAAGAAUCAUAAAAAUAUUUCUCUGAAAGUAGCCUAGACGUCAAUUCCCCAAAUCCGUGAAUAAAGACUUACUGACCUUUGUCUUGUAGGCUGGGAAAAGCAAUGUAGGUUGGAUCCCGUCACCGUCUCUGUCAACCUUAGAUAUUUACCGGCCUGUUAUGGAACCCCAAUUUCAGGGGACAGGUCUUUAAUUAACGAGUCAAUGACCCGCCCAUGCACGGUUUUCGGCGUGUUACCUUAGGAAGACAGGGACAGAUUUUUGGAUCCGGCUCAAAGGACCAAUUGAUAUGAGAAUUAUGUUCUCAAUGUUAACUUCAAUUAAAAUACUCAGUCUGCCACCCAGAAUGUGUAAGAUUCUGGUUGAAUAACACAGACGGAGGCCCAGCUUACAAGAAUCAGACGUGUUUAUUCAGGAGAGCGCUCUGCCUUCCAUUGUAC
RNAcentral lists this transfer RNA (4014 nucleotides) under Salmo salar (Atlantic salmon). Its description in RNAcentral is "lncRNA (ENSSSAG00000107937.1, ENSSSAG00000116506.1)". The record is from RNAcentral. Lineage: Eukaryota; Metazoa; Chordata; Actinopteri; Salmoniformes; Salmonidae.